UGAGCCAGUUUAUAACUCUGCAGCUAACGAUAGAGUCACGUCAACGGGACACAAUCAUUUAAAUUGAACACAGCAAUUAAACAGUUCUUAACUACAAAAAACCGUAAAGCUAGACAGAGUAUGUCCCAAAUUAUAACAUAGGAGACACAAGUACUAGCCAAUAGCCAUGACUCAUAAUAAUACGACGACGAGAUUGACGACCUUCACAAUAGGAAUAUUAAAACAAAGUAAUAACAAUAGAUUGGGCUGAUGUUACCGAAUUCAAACAGUGACAUAAAACGAGACUGAAAAUAAAGUAUGGGCGGUUCGUCUACAGGCGGCUGUAGCUCGAAGGACGGCGCCCCCGGGGUCGGCGGCGGCGAGUGCACCGGUGGCGGCG
Long non-coding RNA from Helicoverpa zea (corn earworm), 379 nucleotides. RefSeq lists it as uncharacterized. The record is from RefSeq and is a predicted model, not a curated record. The transcript has 3 exons. NCBI's taxonomy places the organism in Eukaryota, Metazoa, Arthropoda, Insecta, Lepidoptera, Noctuidae.